Zingiber officinale is the source of this 210-nucleotide long non-coding RNA. RefSeq lists it as uncharacterized. The transcript is spliced from 3 exons. The record is from RefSeq and is a predicted model, not a curated record. NCBI's taxonomy places the organism in Eukaryota, Viridiplantae, Streptophyta, Magnoliopsida, Zingiberales, Zingiberaceae.
UCAAAUUCUUGGAGCAGAAAUAGCUUUGUCAUUUGGGUGACUUGUUUCUUUCGUCAGUUUGGAAAGUCGGUCGUACGGGCUGACUACCUUACCCUUCGUCAGGGUUUUAUCUUGAACCACAAUCUGACACCAAGAUAUGAUUUUCAUAGUUACAUGAUACGCUCGAUGGAAGAAGAGUUUAAAAGGAUUGUUGGUGUAAGGUCAGAUGAA